GAAUAAACCUUAUUGAAGUGGAAGCCCGCAGCAUAGCGAGGAAUAUAACGGAAAGAAGGACUGGAU
This 66-nucleotide small RNA is filed under the name Pedobacter alluvionis. RNAcentral describes it as "Flavo-1 RNA". The record is from RNAcentral. Lineage: Bacteria; Pseudomonadati; Bacteroidota; Sphingobacteriia; Sphingobacteriales; Sphingobacteriaceae.